This 440-nucleotide ribosomal RNA is filed under the name uncultured bacterium. RNAcentral's name for it is "partial 16S ribosomal RNA". It matches the Rfam family "Bacterial small subunit ribosomal RNA", at positions 338 to 795 of the family's 1533-position model. The record is from RNAcentral.
CCUACGGGAGGCUGCAGUGGGGGAUAUUGCACAAUGGGGGGAACCCUGAUGCAGCGACGCCGCGUGGGUGAAGAAGCGCCUCGGCGCGUAAAGCUCUGUCAGCAGGGAAGAAAAUGACGGUACCUGAAGAAGAAGCCCCGGCUAACUACGUGCCAGCAGCCGCGGUAAUACGUAGGGGGCAAGCGUUAUCCGGAUUUACUGGGUGGAAAGGGGGCGCAGACGGCGAUGCAAGCCAGGAGUGAAAGCCCGGGGCCCAACCCCGGGACUGCUAUUGGAACUGCGUGGCUGGAGUGCAGGAGGGGCAGGCGGAAUUCCUGGUGUAGCGGUGAAAUGCGUAGAUAUCAGGAGGAACACCGGUGGCGAAGGCGGCCUGCUGGACUGCAACUGACGUUGAGGCCCGAAAGCGUGGGGAGCAAACAGGAUUAGAUACCCCUGUAGUC